GGGUGUGCUAAAGGACUCGUUCAAUAUUUGCAACAUGUCUUGUGACUGAGUAUUUUCGAAAUGAUGGCUGAACUCAUCAUUCAUUACCACCAGCAUAAUACAAUGAACCAUAGUUCGAUCAUUGAGCCACUUCUGAUAAGUGUCUCUGACCAUACUACGAACGUUCAGAGCUGGCUCCUCGAGUGUCGGAUCAGUUAACACAUACAAGAUCCG
Molecule: long non-coding RNA, 213 nt
Filed under: Elaeis guineensis (African oil palm)
Lineage: Eukaryota; Viridiplantae; Streptophyta; Magnoliopsida; Arecales; Arecaceae
Description: long non-coding RNA (EGUI_LNC064804)
Source: RNAcentral